Molecule: ribosomal RNA, 440 nt
Filed under: uncultured bacterium
Lineage: Bacteria
Description: partial 16S ribosomal RNA
Rfam family: Bacterial small subunit ribosomal RNA
Source: RNAcentral
CCUACGGGGGGCAGCAGUGGGGAAUAUUGCACAAUGGGGGAAACCCUGAUGCAGCGACGCCGCGUGAGUGAAGAAGUAAUUCGUUAUGUAAAGCUCUAUCAGCAGGGAAGAAAAUGACGGUACCUGAGUAAGAAGCCCCGGCUAACGACGGGCCAGCAGCCGCGGUAAUACGUAGGGGGCAAGCGUUAUCCGGAUUUACUGGGUGGAAAGGGAGCGUAGACGGCAGUGCAAGUCUGGAGUGAAAGGCGGGGGCUCAACCCCCGGACUGCUCUUGAAACUGUACGGCUGGAUUGCAGGAGAGGUAAGUGGAAUUCCUAGUGUAGCGGUGAAAUGCGUAGAUAUUAGGAGGAACACCAGUGGCGAAGGUGGCUUACUGGACUGUAACUGACGUUGAGGCUCGAAAGCGUGGGGAGCAAACAGGAUUAGAUACCCGAGUAGUC